This 482-nucleotide ribosomal RNA is filed under the name uncultured bacterium. RNAcentral describes it as "partial 16S ribosomal RNA". It matches the Rfam family "Bacterial small subunit ribosomal RNA", at positions 30 to 507 of the family's 1533-position model. The record is from RNAcentral.
AUUGAACGCUGGCGGCAUGCUUUACACAUGCAAGUCGAACGGUAACAGGCCGCAAGUUGCUGACUAGUGGCGAACGGGUUAGUAAUGCAUCGGAACGUUCCCAGUCGUGUGGGCUAACUACUCGAAAGAGUAACUAAUACCGCAUACGAUCUAUUAAUGAAAGCGUGGGACCGUAGGGCCUCGCGCGAUUGGAGCGGCCGAUGUCAGAUUAGGUAGUUGGUGGGGUAAAGGCUCACCAAGCCAACGAUCUGUAGCUGGACUAAGAGGACGACCAGCCACACUGGGACUGGGACACGGCCCAGACUCCUACGGGAGGCAGCAGUGGGGAAUUUUGGACAAUGGGCGCAAGCCUGAUCCAGCAAUGCCGCGUGCAGGAAGAAGGCCUUCGGGUUGUAAACUGCUUUUGUACGGAACGAAAAGGAUCUGGUUAAUACCCGGGGCUAAUGACGGUACCGUAAGAAUAAGCACCGGCUAACUACGUG